UAUCUACAGGCUUAACACAUGCAAGUCGAGGGGCAGCAUGGUCUUAGCUUGCUAAGGCCGAUGGCGACCGGUGCACGGGUGAGUAACACGUAUCCAACCUGCCGUCUACUCUUGGACAGCCUUCUGAAAGGAAGAUUAAUACAAGAUGGCAUCAUGAGUCCGCAUGUUCACAUGAUUAAAGGUAUUCCGGUAGACGAUGGGGAUGCGUUCCAUUAGAUAGUAGGCGGGGUAACGGCCCACCUAGUCUUCGAUGGAUAGGGGUUCUGAGAGGAAGGUCCCCCACAUUGGAACUGAGACACGGUCCAAACUCCUACGGGAGGCAGCAGUGAGGAAUAUUGGUCAAUGGGCGAGAGCCUGAACCAGCCAAGUAGCGUGAAAGAUGACUGCCCUAUGGGUUGUAAACUUCUUUUAUAAAGGAAUAAAGUCGGGUAUGGAUACCCGUUUGCAUGUACUUUAUGAAUAAGGAUCGGCUAACUCCGUGCCAGCAGCCGCGGUAAUACGGAGGAUCCGAGCGUUAUCCGGAUUUAUUGGGUUUAAAGGGAGCGUAGAUGGAUGUUUAAGUCAGUUGUGAAAGUUUGCGGCUCAACCGUAAAAUUGCAGUUGAUACUGGAUAUCUUGAGUGCAGUUGAGGCAGGCGGAAUUCGUGGUGUAGCGGUGAAAUGCUUAGAUAUCACGAAGAACUCCGAUUGCGAAGGCAGCCUGCUAAGCUGCAACUGACAUUGAGGCUCGAAAGUGUGGGUAUCAAACAGGAUUAGAUACCCUGGUAGUCCACACGGUAAACGAUGAAUACUCGCUGUUUGCGAUAUACAGCAAGCGGCCAAGCGAAAGCGUUAAGUAUUCCACCUGGGGAGUACGCCGGCAACGGUGAAACUCAAAGGAAUUGACGGGGGCCCGCACAAGCGGAGGAACAUGUGGUUUAAUUCGAUGAUACGCGAGGAACCUUACCCGGGCUUAAAUUGCAGAUGAAUUACGGUGAAAGCCGUAAGCCGCAAGGCAUCUGUGAAGGUGCUGCAUGGUUGUCGUCAGCUCGUGCCGUGAGGUGUCGGCUUAAGUGCCAUAACGAGCGCAACCCUUGUUGUCAGUUACUAACAGGUUCCGCUGAGGACUCUGACAAGACUGCCAUCGUAAGAUGUGAGGAAGGUGGGGAUGACGUCAAAUCAGCACGGCCCUUACGUCCGGGGCUACACACGUGUUACAAUGGGGGGUACAGAGGGCCGCUACCACGCGAGUGGAUGCCAAUCCCAAAAACCUCUCUCAGUUCGGACUGGAGUCUGCAACCCGACUCCACGAAGCUGGAUUCGCUAGUAAUCGCGCAUCAGCCACGGCGCGGUGAAUACGUUCCCGGGCCUUGUACACACCGCCCGUCAAGCCAUGGGAGCCGGGGGUACCUGAAGUGCGUAACCGCGAGGAGCGCCCUAGGGUAAAACUGGUGACUGGGGCUAAGUC
RNAcentral lists this ribosomal RNA (1446 nucleotides) under uncultured organism. RNAcentral describes it as "SSU rRNA". It matches the Rfam family "Bacterial small subunit ribosomal RNA". The record is from RNAcentral.